RNAcentral lists this long non-coding RNA (321 nucleotides) under Homo sapiens (human). RNAcentral describes it as "HSALNT0359665". Lineage: Eukaryota; Metazoa; Chordata; Mammalia; Primates; Hominidae. The record is from RNAcentral.
GGGACCGUCCUUCAGGCUCCGCCCCGCGGGGUUCACGCCAUUCUCCUGCCUCAGCCUCCAGCGUAGCUGGGACUACAGGCGCCCGCCACCUCGCCCGGCUAAUUUUUUUUGUAUUUUUAGUAGAGACGGGGUUUCACCGUGUUAGCCAGGAUGGUCUCGAUCUCCUGACCUCGUGAUCCGCCCGCCUCAGCCUCCCAAAGUGCUGGGAUUACAGGCGUGAGCCACCGCGCCCGGCCAAUUUUUUUGAGUAGAGACGGGGUUUCACCAUGUUAGCCAGGAUGGUCUCGAUCUCCUGACCUUGUGAUCCACCUGCCUUGGCCU